UAAAGCACAUCAUAUAUGUAGUAUAGGUUGUUGGGGCAAUUCUGCAGUACCAAUAGGCUAUUUGGUAUCUGGCGAUAGUAUGUUCACUUGAUGGUAUAAUAGAUAAGGAAAAAUUAUCAACACUACCAAAAAUAAUAACAUGCAGAAAGCAUCUCCACAACACUUGUGCUUACAGGGACCUAAAUGGAACCGUCCUCCACAUUGAUGGCAAAACCGAACACCGCAUUUGCAUUUGAUAUCUCUGCAACCACUAACUCGCUCAACAGAGUGACCACAAUUAUAACAUCUAGUCCACUUCUUCUCUUCUAUAAGUUCCCCAAUAAGAAUGUCAUUAGUAUCUCUCAACUGUCCACUUUCAUUGCACUGAUAUCCAGCAUGCCAUGGAAUCUUGCACCGAAAACAGAAGUUCUUCUUGCAGUUAGGACACUUUAUUUUCUUCAGUUUAUCCUUGCACUCAUUCAAAACCAAAGCUGAGCAAUCUCGAUAAGGACAAUAGCACCUUUCAAACCUCAAGACCGUGGAAUCACAUAGAAGAUCACACCACUGAUCAAACAGUGACUUUGAGACAAUAGACCUGCAUGAGAGCGGGUCCAGUGCAUGGUUGCAGUUCAGUCCAGGGCAUUCAAUGUUUCCAGUGACGUCUUCAACUUUUAUUGUAAUAUACUUGGAUAUGCAGUCCAAGCAGAAAGGAUGACUGCACAAGCCACCAUUCUUAAAUUUCCUGUUUGAUUCCAUGGGUUCAAUGCAUAUAUCACAUGUGAAAUUUGAAACUUCUUCAUGUUGUUCAUGUUCUUCAACUAUGUCUGUUUCUUGUGGCUUUUGUAGUUUAUUUCCCAUUCUAUGAUCUGCCCUCUGCUUACAAAGUUCAAACCAGCUUCUUGAGCUAGCCUCUCCACUUCUGAGUUAGCCUAUCCUAGGGUGAUAUGACAAUCUCCCAGCUUUAGUGCUGCAGAGAGAAAAUUUCAAAUUUUUUCUUCCUUAGUUUUCUGGGGAAUCAAACAGAAAAUAGGAACAAUAAAAUUAUAUAUUUAUGAUUCUGUUGCUAGGAAAAAAAAGAGGGAUGAGCAGGUGAGAUGACGAGGGAGGUGGGGUGCAGAUUGUAGAGUGUAACUUACUGUGG
This 1120-nucleotide unclassified non-coding RNA is filed under the name Hevea brasiliensis (rubber tree). Lineage: Eukaryota; Viridiplantae; Streptophyta; Magnoliopsida; Malpighiales; Euphorbiaceae. The record is from RNAcentral.